RNAcentral lists this ribosomal RNA (746 nucleotides) under Bacillus subtilis. Its description in RNAcentral is "bacterial SSU rRNA". It matches the Rfam family "Bacterial small subunit ribosomal RNA", at positions 556 to 1303 of the family's 1533-position model. Lineage: Bacteria; Bacillati; Bacillota; Bacilli; Caryophanales; Bacillaceae. The record is from RNAcentral.
GGGCGUAAGGGCUCGCAGGCGGUUUCUUAAGUCUGAUGUGAAAGCCCCCGGCUCAACCGGGGAGGGUCAUUGGAAACUGGGGAACUUGAGUGCAGAAGAGGAGAGUGGAAUUCCACGUGUAGCGGUGAAAUGCGUAGAGAUGUGGAGGAACACCAGUGGCGAAGGCGACUCUCUGGUCUGUAACUGACGCUGAGGAGCGAAAGCGUGGGGAGCGAACAGGAUUAGAUACCCUGGUAGUCCACGCCGUAAACGAUGAGUGCUAAGUGUUAGGGGGUUUCCGCCCCUUAGUGCUGCAGCUAACGCAUUAAGCACUCCGCCUGGGGAGUACGGUCGCAAGACUGAAACUCAAAGGAAUUGACGGGGGCCCGCACAAGCGGUGGAGCAUGUGGUUUAAUUCGAAGCAACGCGAAGAACCUUACCAGGUCUUGACAUCCUCUGACAAUCCUAGAGAUAGGACGUCCCCUUCGGGGGCAGAGUGACAGGUGGUGCAUGGUUGUCGUCAGCUCGUGUCGUGAGAUGUUGGGUUAAGUCCCGCAACGAGCGCAACCCUUGAUCUUAGUUGCCAGCAUUCAGUUGGGCACUCUAAGGUGACUGCCGGUGACAAACCGGAGGAAGGUGGGGAUGACGUCAAAUCAUCAUGCCCCUUAUGACCUGGGCUACACACGUGCUACAAUGGACAGAACAAAGGGCAGCGAAACCGCGAGGUUAAGCCAAUCCCACAAAUCUGUUCUCAGUUCGGAUCGCAG